This 308-nucleotide long non-coding RNA is filed under the name Elaeis guineensis (African oil palm). Its description in RNAcentral is "long non-coding RNA (EGUI_LNC033135)". The record is from RNAcentral. Lineage: Eukaryota; Viridiplantae; Streptophyta; Magnoliopsida; Arecales; Arecaceae.
UGGUCCUCGAAGUAGAUAUCGAUGUUUUAAAUGAUCCAAAACUUCUAUAUGGAAAUCAUUCUAAUUUUGUUCAUAGAUUAUUUCUUCUGUAUGCUCUACUUACUAUUAUACUUGUACUUCAUAAUGGCACCAUGCAUUGUUAUGUUAACAUGCAUCCUUUUGUUAAUGUAUGUAUAAUUAUUAUUUUCCUAUACAUUCUUAUGUUCCUACAUAUGUUAUAUGUUAGGAUAAUAUAUCUAUAUUGUCCUAGAAGUACAUAUGAAGGUUAUUUUGAUUGUAUGCACAUAUAUAUUGUUAUUUUGUACAUU